Molecule: transfer RNA, 73 nt
Filed under: Rhynchobrunnera orthospora
Lineage: Eukaryota; Fungi; Ascomycota; Leotiomycetes; Helotiales; Ploettnerulaceae
Description: Rhynchosporium orthosporum tRNA-Glu
Rfam family: tRNA
About the family: Transfer RNA (tRNA) molecules are approximately 80 nucleotides in length.
Source: RNAcentral
GGCCUUAUAGUCAAGUGGUUAAGACAUAAUGUUUUCAUCAUUACAUACAUGGGUUCAAUCCCCAUUGAGGCUA